AAGGCUUUGGCUUAAUUAAAGUAUUUGCUUUGCACGCAGAGGAUGUAGGUUAAAAUCCUGCAAGUCUUA
Molecule: transfer RNA, 69 nt
Filed under: Apistus carinatus (ocellated waspfish)
Lineage: Eukaryota; Metazoa; Chordata; Actinopteri; Perciformes; Apistidae
Description: tRNA-Ala
Rfam family: tRNA
About the family: Transfer RNA (tRNA) molecules are approximately 80 nucleotides in length.
Source: RNAcentral